Sorex araneus (European shrew) is the source of this 274-nucleotide small nucleolar RNA. Lineage: Eukaryota; Metazoa; Chordata; Mammalia; Eulipotyphla; Soricidae. The record is from RefSeq and is a predicted model, not a curated record.
CCCGUGAUGAGACUAAGGCGAAUGCGACUCAUGCCCUCGUCCUGGCCAACCCCCCCUCACACACACAUGGGGGGGCCCAGGGGCAUCUGAAAUCUCAGCAGGGGUCCCCGAGGCCCGGCCCCGCGCUGUAAGGCAGAUGGAGAGCACAGCGGCCUCCCCUCCGCCUCUGCAGCCGCCCCCAGUUCCCGGCAGCUGCCCGCGAGCGGGGGGCCCACAGUUAGGGACCGAGGUGGGACCGGGCAGGAGCCAUGUGAGCGCACCCUUGGAGCUGACG